This 68-nucleotide transfer RNA is filed under the name Sebastiscus marmoratus (false kelpfish). RNAcentral's name for it is "tRNA-Pro". It matches the Rfam family "tRNA". From Rfam's summary of the family: Transfer RNA (tRNA) molecules are approximately 80 nucleotides in length. Their secondary structure includes four short double-helical elements and three loops (D, anti-codon, and T loops). Further hydrogen bonds mediate the characteristic L-shaped molecular structure. tRNAs have two regions of fundamental functional importance: the anti-codon, which is responsible for specific mRNA codon recognition, and the 3' end, to which the tRNAs corresponding amino acid is attached (by aminoacyl-tRNA synthetases). tRNAs cope with the degeneracy of the genetic code in two manners: having more than one tRNA (with a specific anti-codon) for a particular amino acid; and 'wobble' base-pairing, i.e. permitting non-standard base-pairing at the 3rd anti-codon position. The record is from RNAcentral. Lineage: Eukaryota; Metazoa; Chordata; Actinopteri; Perciformes; Sebastidae.
CAAAGAAUAGUUUAAUUAAGAAUUCUGGCUUUGGGAGCCAGGGGUGGGAGUUAGUUCUCCUUUCUUUG